AACGAAGAAAAAAAGGUAGAAACAUGAUGUUGUCAGCGUAAUCUCAUACAUAAAUACACAGCUUGGUUAUUGAGGGCGGCCAAAUAUAAGAUAGAUACAGAGACAAGCUCAUAAUCAAGGAUAGCUAGGCAGGGCCCCCCUCUUACCCACGCAUCCCCCUUCCUUCCUUUUCUUUCAAAGGGUGUUGCUCCCUUUUCUCGGCUGUAGUUUUUUUAAUCACUUUUAAUAUUUGAUA
RNAcentral lists this unclassified non-coding RNA (235 nucleotides) under Hevea brasiliensis (rubber tree). The record is from RNAcentral. Lineage: Eukaryota; Viridiplantae; Streptophyta; Magnoliopsida; Malpighiales; Euphorbiaceae.